UACGUAGGGGGCAAGCGUUGUCCGGAAUCAUUGGGCGUAAAGCGCGUGUAGGCGGCCCGGUAAGUCCGCUGUGAAAGUCGGGGGCUCAACCCUCGAAUGCCGGUGGAUACUGUCGGGCUAGAGUGCGGAAGAGGAGUGUGGAAUUCCUGGUGUAGCGGUGAAAUGCGCAGAUAUCAGGAGGAACACCAAUGGCGAAGGCAGCACUCUGGGACGUGACUGACGCUGAGACGCGAAAGCGUGGGGAGCAAACAGG
This 253-nucleotide ribosomal RNA is filed under the name uncultured bacterium. Its description in RNAcentral is "partial 16S ribosomal RNA". It matches the Rfam family "Bacterial small subunit ribosomal RNA", at positions 524 to 776 of the family's 1533-position model. The record is from RNAcentral.